RNAcentral lists this non-coding RNA (30 nucleotides) under Homo sapiens (human). Lineage: Eukaryota; Metazoa; Chordata; Mammalia; Primates; Hominidae. The record is from RNAcentral.
UGCAUGCUUUUCCUACUUCUUGGAAAGGUU